UCCCUGGUGGCUCAGACGGUAAAGCAUCUGUCUACAAUGCAGGAGACCAGGGUUCGAGCCCUGGGUUGGGAA
This 72-nucleotide transfer RNA is filed under the name Ovis aries (sheep). It matches the Rfam family "tRNA". Rfam says of the family: Transfer RNA (tRNA) molecules are approximately 80 nucleotides in length. Their secondary structure includes four short double-helical elements and three loops (D, anti-codon, and T loops). Lineage: Eukaryota; Metazoa; Chordata; Mammalia; Artiodactyla; Bovidae. The record is from Rfam by way of RNAcentral.